RNAcentral lists this ribosomal RNA (253 nucleotides) under uncultured bacterium. RNAcentral's name for it is "partial 16S ribosomal RNA". It matches the Rfam family "Bacterial small subunit ribosomal RNA", at positions 524 to 776 of the family's 1533-position model. The record is from RNAcentral.
UACGGAGGGUGCGAGCGUUGUCCGGAAUCAUUGGGCGUAAAGGGCGCGUAGGUGGCGGCUUAAGCGUGCGGUGAAAGCUCGGGGCUCAACCCCGAGUCGGCCGUGCGAACUGAGUCGCUUGAGCACUGUAGAGGCAGGCGGAAUUCCGGGUGUAGCGGUGGAAUGCGUAGAGAUCCGGAAGAACACCGGUGGCGAAGGCGGCCUGCUGGGCAGUAGCUGACACUGAGGCGCGACAGCGUGGGGAGCAAACAGG